This 160-nucleotide unclassified non-coding RNA is filed under the name Homo sapiens (human). RNAcentral describes it as "long intergenic non-protein coding RNA 1606 (ENSG00000282395.1)". Lineage: Eukaryota; Metazoa; Chordata; Mammalia; Primates; Hominidae. The record is from RNAcentral.
GUACUAGACCCCAGAUGAGGAUCUCAGGAAGAUCCACAAAGCUGCGUCCAGGGGAACGAACGUGUGGAAGCUGCAGCGGAGCCUCCUGCUCAAGAGUAAAGGACCGGUCUGAAACCUACAAGAACAGAUUCUCACAGUAGACGAGGAGCCUGUUUUUCAG